GUCCAGACUCCUACGGGAGGCAGCAGUGGGGAAUAUUGCACAAUGGGGGAAACCCUGAUGCAGCGACGCCGCGUGAGCGAUGAAGUAUUUCGGUAUGUAAAGCUCUAUCAGCAGGGAAGAAAAAAAGUCCUUUGGACUUUGGACGGUACCUGACCAAGAAGCCCCGGCUAACUACGUGCCAGCAGCCGCGGUAAUACGUAGGGGGCAAGCGUUAUCCGGAUUUACUGGGUGUAAAGGGAGCGUAGACGGCAGCGCAAGUCUGGAGUGAAAUGCCGGGGCCCAACCCCGGGGCUGCAUUGGAAACUGGCAGGCUGGAGUGCCGGAGAGGCAGGCGGAAUUCCUAGUGUAGCGGUGAAAUGCGUAGAUAUUAGGAGGAACACCAGUGGCGAAGGCGGCCUGCUGGACGGUGACUGACGCUGAGGCUCGAAAGCGUGGGGAGCAAACAGGAUUAGAUACCCCGGUAA
RNAcentral lists this ribosomal RNA (464 nucleotides) under uncultured bacterium. Its description in RNAcentral is "bacterial SSU rRNA". It matches the Rfam family "Bacterial small subunit ribosomal RNA", at positions 329 to 793 of the family's 1533-position model. The record is from RNAcentral.